AUUAAGCAAAUUAAGGGCGUAUGGUGAAUGCCUUGGCACAAAAGAACGAUGAAGGACGUAGUAGGCUGCGAUAAGCUUCGGGUAGCUGUCAAACGAGCUUUGAUCCGAAGAUUUCCGAAUGGAGUAAUCCAACUGGGUUAAUACCCAGUUAUCUUACAGUAAAUUCAUAGCUGUAUAGAUGAUAACGCAGGGAAGUGAAACCUCUCAGUACCUGCAGGAAAAGAGAACGAGAGUUUAUUCCCCCAGUAGUGGCGAGCGAAAAGGGAAGAGCCUAAACUUAUACCGUGUAAGAUUGAUAUGAAUCGUGAUUCGCGUUGCGAUGAUCGAGGAUUUGAAAUCGUAGGUUGCUACUCGUGCGGUAUGAGUGUUGCAAGAGUUAAUGGGAGUGGUAGCAAGCACUCCGAGGAGUCAAAAAAUUCUUUUUUAGUAGAAUAUAUCUGGAAAGAUAAGCCAAAGAGAGUGAAAGCCUCGUAAACGAAAAAAUAGAGUCUCCUUUUUAACUUCUUAAGUACCACGAGACACGUGAGAUCUUGUGGGAACCAGCCGAUACCACUCGGCAAGGCUAAAUAUCUUUUGUGACCGAUAGUGAAUUAGUAUAGAGAGGGAAAGGUGAAAAGUACCCCUGUUAGGGGAGUGAAAUAGUAACUGAAACCAUAUGCUUACAAACAGUCGUAGCCGGUAUAUCCGGUGGCGGCGUGCCUAUUGAAGAAUGACCCAGUGAGUUCGUUGUGUGUGGCAAGGUUAACCAUGUUUAUUGGGGAGCCGAAGCGAAAGCGAGUCUGAAUAGGGCGAUUUGAGUCACAUGCACGAGACCCGAAACCAAGUGAUCCAGCCAUGGGCAGGGCGAAAUCAUGAGAAAUCAUGACGGAGGCCCGAACUCUUUAAUGUUACAAAAUUAUGAGAUGACCCGUGGUUAGCGGUAACAUGCCAAACGAACUUGGUAAUAGCUGGUUCUCCCCGAAAUAGUUUUAGGACUAGCGUUGCAAUUUAAUAUAUGGGGGUAGAGCACUGAUUGGAUUUGGGGCUCGAAAGAGUACCCAUUCCAGUUAAACUCCGAAUACCGUAUUGUAUAUUGCAGCAGUUAGAGUCAGGGAUCUAAGUUCCUGUGCUCUAGAGGGAAACAGCCCAGAUCGUCAGAUAAGGACCCCAAAUUUUACCUUAGUGGGAAAGGAAGUGAGAUUUCUCAGACAGCUAGGAGGUUGGCUUAGAGGCAGCCAUCCUUUAAAAAAUGCGUAAAAGCUUACUAGUCAAGAGAUUUUGCACUUAAAAUGUAACGGGGCUGAAGGUAAAUUCCGAAGCUGCGAAUUUAUACAUACUUCGGUAUGUAUGGGUGGUAGGGGAGCGUUCUAUAUAUGAUCAACUUAGCAGUUGAUAAAAAGCUGUGAAGAUGGCCCGUAAGGCGCUGUUGGAGCAUAUAGAAGUGAGAAUGCUGGGAUGAGUAACGUAAAGCAGGUGAAAACCCUGCUCGCUGAAUGUCUAAGGUUUCCAUGGCUAUGUCAGUCAACCAUGGGUUAGUCGGUCCUAAGUCGAGGCUGAAAAGCGUAGACGAUGGCUAACAGGUUAAUAUUCCUGUACUACUAACAUUCGAAAUGGAGUGAGAGGAUUGAAUACGCAAGCCCCUAAUUGGUUUGGGGUGUAAGCAACAAGAGAGCUCUUUUAGGAAAAUCCGGAAGAGUGUUUCUACUUCGGUGGAUGAACACGAGUUGCAAUGCAAAGGUGACCUUCGGGAAACCGAUUUGUACUAUUUAAUUCUCCAGGAAAAUCUUCUAUCAAUAAUUACUUCGGUAAUUAUAAAAAUGUUUGUAACCGUACUGCAAACCGACACUGGUGGACAAGUGUAAAUGCACUAAAGCGUACGAGUGAUACAUUGUUAAGGAAUUCGGCAAAUUGACCCCGUAAGUUCGCAAUAAGGGGGACUCUCCAUCAUAAGUUUUAUUAUUUGUGGUGAUGAGAGUGGCACAGAAUAGGGAAGAACGACUAGUUACCAAAACUACAGGCGCUUGCAAACUCGUAAGAGGAUGUAUAAGUGCUGACACCUGCCCAAUGCCAGAAGGUUAAGGUGAUUCAUUAGCUCUCUGCUGGGUGCACUUCGGUGCCCUAGUGGUUGCGAAGUGGAAAGCCGAAGCCCUGGUCAAUGGCGGCUGUAACUAUAACGGUCCUAAGGUAGCGUAAUACCUCGUCACUUAAUUAGUGACUUGCAUGAAAGGUGUAACGAUUCUUCCUCUGUCUCAACAAUGUGCUCGGUGAAAUUGAAAUGGCUGUGAAGAUGCGGCCUACCUAUACCAGGACAAAAAGACCCCGUGGAGCUUUACUUCAGCUUUGCAUUGAGAUAAGGUUUCGGAUGUAUAGAAUAUGUGGGAGACUAUGAAGCAGUUUCGUCAGGAAUUGUGGAGUCGACAGUGUAAUACCACUCUUUUGGUAUUUUAUUUCUAACAGUAUCCAUUAUCUGGAUUCUAGACAGUGCAUGGUAGGAAGUUUGACUGGGGCGGUUGCUUGCUAAAGAGUACCGCAAGCGCACUAAGGUCUCCUCAACCCGGAUGGAAAUCGGGUGAAGAGUGCAUAAGCAUAAGGAGGCUUUACUGUGAGGGAGACAUCCCGAUCAGUUACGAAAGUAGGUUUAAGUGACCCUUUGGUUGCGCGUGGAAGCGCCAUUGUUUAACGGAGAUAAGCUACCCCGGGGAUAACAGGCUAGUCUUGCCCGAUAGUUCAUAUUGACGGCAAGGUUCGGCACCUCGAUGUCGGCUCGUCGCAUCCUGGGAUUGGAUAAGAUCCCAAGGGUUGGACUGUUCGUCCAUUAAAGCGGCACGUGAGCUGGGUUCAGACCGGCGUAAGCCAGGUCGGUCUCUAUCCGGUAUAGGCGUUGUAUAUUUGAGGAAAUCGUCCCCUAGUACGAAAGGAUCGGGGAGUGAAAACCUCUGGUCUACCAGCUGUUCUACCAAGAGCAUUGCUGGGUAGCUAAGUUUUUAUCGGAUAAGCACUGAAAGCAUAUAAGUGCGAAGCCUAUUCCAAGAUUAAAUAUACUUGUGUAGCUUGACUACACGGAAGGUCUGUAGGAGACUACUACAUUGAUAGGCUCUAGGUAUAAGUGUAGCGAUACAUUUAGCCGAGGAGUACUAAUUGACCAAAAGCUU
This 3131-nucleotide ribosomal RNA is filed under the name Candidatus Dojkabacteria bacterium. Its description in RNAcentral is "23S ribosomal RNA". It matches the Rfam family "Bacterial large subunit ribosomal RNA". The record is from RNAcentral.